CUCCACCACCAGAGUAACCACCCUCGCGUCUUCCGCCGCCACCUCCGUAUCCACCGCCACCACCUCCGUAGCCACCGCCGCCGCUGCGGUAUCCACCGCCACCACCACCACGGCCGCCUCCGCCACCGCUUCCACGUGACUGAGCCUCGUUCACAGUGAUGCUGCGACCAUCGAGCUCCUGUCCGUUCAUUCCCUCAAUGGCGUCUUUCAUGGAUUUCUCAUCCUUGAAAGUGACGAAUCCGAAUCCCCUCGAUCUUCCAGUCUCACGAUCGUUAAUGAUCUGGAAACAUAAAAACGAAACAGAUCAGCCAAAUAAUCCAACACAGACGGACACACAAAUCGAGCCAAAAAAUUUCAAAAAGAAAACGAUCGAUCUCCGGGCUCAUAAAAGCAGGAAGAUGAACGUACCGAUUGGGAAAAACAAGUAACAGAGUAACAAAGAACGAG
RNAcentral lists this long non-coding RNA (447 nucleotides) under Eutrema salsugineum. RNAcentral's name for it is "long non-coding RNA (ESAL_LNC001430)". The record is from RNAcentral. Lineage: Eukaryota; Viridiplantae; Streptophyta; Magnoliopsida; Brassicales; Brassicaceae.